GAAAUGAGGACCAAAGGCAGUUAUGGGACAUGGUUUUGUCACCACUGAUGCCUUCCAGACCUGUGUUCGGCCAGGAUAAUGGGUGAAUUUCAUAAUUCUACAGUCGUGUUCUGUUUUGUCUUAGUGCUCUGAGCUCUGAGCCUCCAUUUUCUCAUCUCAUCUCACAGAGACAGCUCCUGCCAUCAGCUCACUCUGGUGAUCACUAAUGCACACCCUGCAGAGUGCCCGACGCCAGCUUGUUCUUAACGUUCACUGGUUUGCCACACCUUGCGCUAAGCAUCCCUACACAGCUCUAGUGAGUCCAAAUACUGGGCCUCACUGUUUUCGUGAUUAAAAAAAUAUUCUUGUAACCAG
This 354-nucleotide long non-coding RNA is filed under the name Rattus norvegicus (Norway rat). RNAcentral describes it as "long non-coding RNA NONRATT016235". Lineage: Eukaryota; Metazoa; Chordata; Mammalia; Rodentia; Muridae. The record is from RNAcentral.